AACAAAAACAUGUUCUUUAGAGUAUAAUUUAAGAUUUAACCUGCCCAAUGAUUUAAUUAAAUGGCCGCAGUAUUUUGACUGUGCAAAGGUAGCAUAAUCAUUAGUUUUUUAAUUGAAAGCUUGUAUGAAUGGUUGGACGAGAAAAAAUCUGUUUCUAUUUAUUAAAUUGAAUUUAAUUUUUUAGUUAAAAAGCUAAAAUUAUAUUAAAAGACGAGAAGACCCUAUAGAUCUUUAUAAUAAUAAUAAUAUUUUAUUUAUAGAAUUUAAUAAUAUUUUAUUAUUGUUAUUAUUUUAUUGGGGUAAUAGAAAGAUUUAAUUAAUUCUUUUAUAUUAAAAUAUUUUAUGAUAAAAUUUUGAUCCAUUAAUAAUGAAUAAUGAUUAAGUUACCUUAGGGAUAACAGCGUAAUUUUUUUAGAGAGUUCUUAUCAAUAAAAGAGAUUGCGACCUCGAUGUUG
RNAcentral lists this ribosomal RNA (455 nucleotides) under Laccophilus sp. BI-2011. Its description in RNAcentral is "partial 16S ribosomal RNA". The record is from RNAcentral. Lineage: Eukaryota; Metazoa; Arthropoda; Insecta; Coleoptera; Dytiscidae.